Brachypodium distachyon (stiff brome) is the source of this 427-nucleotide long non-coding RNA. RefSeq lists it as uncharacterized. Lineage: Eukaryota; Viridiplantae; Streptophyta; Magnoliopsida; Poales; Poaceae. The record is from RefSeq and is a predicted model, not a curated record. The transcript is spliced from 2 exons.
UUCCAGACAUCGAUCUCUGCACCUCCUGCUACGUUUCUUCCUUCCUAACCUCCCUCCCGAUCGAUCAAACGAACAAGAAGGGAUCGUUGAAGUCCCGAGAACUUAUGGGCCAUGGCCACAAGAUGUUACAUUUUUCCAGCUGAGCCGGCUUUUAAGGCUUCCUAAUCCAGUUUGGCAUCGCACGAAACCAGAAAUGGUUCGAGGAAGGAGCGAGGAGACAAAAAGAACGAAUUAGGAAGGAGAAUAUAUAGCACGUGCAGCUUGCAGUGCCCCUGAAACAGCUAGCAAGGUGUACUGUAAAGUAGUUGAGCUGGUUUAAUCAUGGUUGUAAGAGCUUUGGUUGUGUGCUACCAACUUACCAUUAGCACCGGCUAUUGUUGUGUUCCAGUUUCUGCUUCUGCAAGUUAACUUUCAUAUCUUCUACAAA